RNAcentral lists this ribosomal RNA (490 nucleotides) under uncultured bacterium. RNAcentral's name for it is "partial 16S ribosomal RNA". It matches the Rfam family "Bacterial small subunit ribosomal RNA", at positions 30 to 507 of the family's 1533-position model. The record is from RNAcentral.
AUUGAACGCUGGCGGCAGGCCUAACACAUGCAAGUCGAACGGUAACAGGAAGCAGCUUGCUGCUUCGCUGACGCGUGGCGGACGGGUGAGUAAUGUCUGGGAAACUGCCUGAUGGAGGGGGAUAACUACUGGAAACGGUAGCUAAUACCGCAUAACGUCGCAAGACCAAAGAGGGGGACCUUAGGGCCUCUUGCCAUCAGAUGUGCCCAGAUGGGAUUAGCUAGUAGGUGGGGUAACGGCACACCUAGGCGACGCUCCCUAGCUAGUCUGAAAGGAUGACCAGCCAAACUGGGACAGAGACAGGGUCCAAACUCCGACGGGAGGCAGCAGAGGGGAAAUUAGCACAAUGGACGCAAGCCUGAUGCAGCCAUGCCGCGUGUAUGAAGAAGGCCUUCGGGUUUUAAAGUACUUUCAGCGGGGAGGAAGGUAGUAAAGUUAAUACCUUUGCUCAUUGACGUUACCCGCAGAAGAAGCGCCGGCUAACUCCGUG